This 463-nucleotide unclassified non-coding RNA is filed under the name Hevea brasiliensis (rubber tree). The record is from RNAcentral. Lineage: Eukaryota; Viridiplantae; Streptophyta; Magnoliopsida; Malpighiales; Euphorbiaceae.
UAUUUACUUGGCUUGUAUGGGAUUAUUCAAACUCAACUACCAUUAAUUGAUAUUGUUUUGAAUGAUUAAAACAGCAUAAUGAUACAAGAAUCAAGUAAUUGGAGACCCACCCUCAAAGGGUUUCAACCAUUCGGGUUUCUCCUGUUAGAUAUACAAGUUUGAUUAGGGGUAUAUGCCUUACCUUUUCUUGAUAUUCACUGCCACCACUUUCUAACAUCUCUAUAAAUUCUUCUGCCAUUUCCUCCAAAUGCAACUUCAGGAGACUAGUGAGAUGCUCAAUGCCGUGAGGCAACACCUUCAGCUCCUGACAACGAACUAGAUACAUCUCCCGGAUGCUUGGUAGUGAACCCUCCUCUAGUUUCAUGCUAUUCAAUCGUGCAAGUUGUUGAAAUAUAAGUUUAUUGAGUCUGGGAAACCAUCCUGCCUUGAAGUGCAAGAAUUUCCCAUCAUAAGCAUUCUUGAG